RNAcentral lists this ribosomal RNA (254 nucleotides) under uncultured bacterium. RNAcentral describes it as "partial 16S ribosomal RNA". It matches the Rfam family "Bacterial small subunit ribosomal RNA", at positions 524 to 776 of the family's 1533-position model. The record is from RNAcentral.
UACGGAGGAUGCAAGCGUUAUCCGGAAUGAUUGGGCGUAAAGCGUCCGCAGGUGGCUGUGUAAGUCUGCUGUUAAAGAGUCUAGCUCAACUAGAUACAAGCAGUGGAAACUACACGGCUAGAGUACGUUCGGGGCAGAGGGAAUUCCUGGUGUAGCGGUGAAAUGCGUAGAGAUCAGGAAGAACACCGGUGGCGAAGGCGCAUCUGCUAGGCCGUAACUGACACUGAGGGACGAAAGCUAGGGGAGCGAAUGGG